CAGCUGAGCUUAAUUAGCAGGUGAAAUCGGAGGGACAGAUCUUGCCGCAGUUGUUGAGGAUGAGGCUGAGAUCGACGGGGAUGUUGAGGUUGAUGAUCCCAAGAACGUUGGCCUUGAUGGCGGUGCAGAGGCAGACGGCGGCGUCGAGGUCGGCUAGGCCGGACAGCAGCGGGCAGCAGUCGUCGGGGCCAGCUCCGAUCUUGACGCCGACGAGCCCGUUGAGCACGUUGGCACACACCCUCAGCUUCAAGGCGUCGAUCGGGCAGCGCCCAUGGCCGUGGCCGCCGUGGUGGUGGUGCGCCGGCGGCGUCGGCACCACCACCGGCGGCGUCGGGAUGACCGGCGGCGCCCCUCCGGGGCAGUAUGGCGCGCAGCCGUGCGCAGCGGCGGCGAAGAGGAGGAUGGUCAGGGCGAGGAGGGGAGCGAUCUUGGAAUAAGCCAUUGCUCAAGUGUGAUGAAGUGAUCGAGCUUAGCUAGUAGAGUUAAUUAGCUAGCUAAGGCUGCUUUAAUUAGC
This 514-nucleotide long non-coding RNA is filed under the name Oryza sativa (Asian cultivated rice). RNAcentral describes it as "long non-coding RNA (OSAT_LNC001890)". Lineage: Eukaryota; Viridiplantae; Streptophyta; Magnoliopsida; Poales; Poaceae. The record is from RNAcentral.